This 64-nucleotide transfer RNA is filed under the name Cheironitis sp. MJTNT-2012. RNAcentral's name for it is "tRNA-Leu". The record is from RNAcentral. Lineage: Eukaryota; Metazoa; Arthropoda; Insecta; Coleoptera; Scarabaeidae.
CUAAUAUGGCAGAAUAGUGCGAUGGAUUUAAGCCCCAUCCAAAAAGCUAAAGCUUUUUUUAGAA